ACCAAAUAUUAUUUUGUACUGCAAGGGUAAGACCCCAGAAAGACUAUCUGGUUGAUAGGUCGAAGGUGUAAGUGCAGCAAUGUAUUUAGCUUAUCGAUACUAAUAGGUCGAGGACUUGACCAA
This 123-nucleotide ribosomal RNA is filed under the name Clostridioides difficile. RNAcentral's name for it is "partial 23S ribosomal RNA". It matches the Rfam family "Bacterial large subunit ribosomal RNA", at positions 2804 to 2925 of the family's 2925-position model. Lineage: Bacteria; Bacillati; Bacillota; Clostridia; Peptostreptococcales; Peptostreptococcaceae. The record is from RNAcentral.